This 211-nucleotide ribosomal RNA is filed under the name uncultured bacterium. RNAcentral describes it as "partial 16S ribosomal RNA". It matches the Rfam family "Bacterial small subunit ribosomal RNA", at positions 1290 to 1500 of the family's 1533-position model. The record is from RNAcentral.
AGUUCGGAUUGCAGGCUGCAACCCGCCUGCAUGAAGCCGGAAUCGCUAGUAAUCGCGGAUCAGAAUGCCGCGGUGAAUACGUUCCCGGGUCUUGUACACACCGCCCGUCACACCAUGGGAGUCGGGAAUGCCCGAAGUCAGUGGCCCAACCGGAAGGGGGGAGCUGCCGAAGGCAGGCCCGGUGACUGGGGUGAAGUCGUAACAAGGUACC